UAGCGUAUAUUAAAGUUGUUGCAGUUAAAAAGUCUCGUAGUUGGAUUUCUGGAUCGAGCUCUCUGUCCGCCGCUGUGCGGUGCGUACUUGAGUAGUCUCGUUUCAUCCUUGCAGGGAAGCGUGUUCGACAUUAAUUUGUCGACACGGGGAACUGCAUCUUUUACUGUGAAAAAAUUAGAGUGUUUAAAGCAGGCAUUUUGCUGUGAAUACAUUAGCAUGGAAUAAUAACAUAGGACCCUGGUUCUAUUUUGUUGGUUGGAGGCCAAGGUAAUGAUUAAUAGGGACAGUUGGGGGUAUUCAUAUUUAAUUGUCAGAGGUGAAAUUCUUGGAUUUAUGAAAGAUGAACUCAUGCGAAAGCAUUUACCAAGGAUGUUUUCAUUAAUCAAGAACGAAAGUUAGGGGAUCGAAGAGGAUUAGAUACCCUCGUAGUCUUAACCAUAAACUAUGCCGACUGGGGAUUGGCGGACGUACUUUUUAUGGCUCCGUCAGCACCUUACGAG
Molecule: ribosomal RNA, 500 nt
Filed under: uncultured marine eukaryote
Lineage: Eukaryota
Also listed under: 1 other name
Description: SSU rRNA
Rfam family: Eukaryotic small subunit ribosomal RNA
Source: RNAcentral